This 472-nucleotide ribosomal RNA is filed under the name uncultured bacterium. Its description in RNAcentral is "bacterial SSU rRNA". It matches the Rfam family "Bacterial small subunit ribosomal RNA", at positions 355 to 825 of the family's 1533-position model. The record is from RNAcentral.
UGGGGAAUAUUGGACAAUGGGGGCAACCCUGAUCCAGCGAUGCCGCGUGUGUGAAGAAGGCCUGAGGGUUGUAAAGCACUUUAGGAGGGGAAGAAUAGGGGGAUUCGAAUAGGGUUCCCUGAUGACAUUACCCUUGGAAUAAGCACCGGCUAACUCUGUGCCAGCAGCCGCGGUAAUACAGAGGGUGCAAGCGUUAAUCGGAAUUACUGGGCGUAAAGGGUGCGUAGGUGGAUUGGUAAGUCGGAUGUGAAAGCCCUGGGCUCAACCUAGGACGUGCAUACGAUACUGUCAGUCUAGAGUGAAGUAGAGGGCAGUGGAAUUUCUGGUGUAGCGGUGAAAUGCGUAGAUAUCAGAAAGAACACCGGUGGCGAAGGCGGCUGCCUGGACUUCAACUGACACUGAGGCACGAAAGCGUGGGGAGCAAACAGGAUUAGAUACCCUCGUAGUCCCUGAGCGGGCUGGCAAGGCGCAU